CAAUUUCUAACCUUGUUUCUGAAUCUUUUUCUUUUCUUUUAUUUUAUUUUAUUAGAUUUUAUUUUAUUUUAUUUUGUUAGGGUUAUGUGUUGCUUCUGAUGGCAAUGAUGAUAACAUCUACUGAUGAAUGCUUCUACAACAUCUACUGAUGGAUGGUAGGUGAUAUGGCAUUUACUGAUGGAUGCCAAUGAAGAUUAGAAAGAUUAGC
RNAcentral lists this long non-coding RNA (208 nucleotides) under Vigna radiata. RNAcentral's name for it is "long non-coding RNA (VRAD_LNC017561)". Lineage: Eukaryota; Viridiplantae; Streptophyta; Magnoliopsida; Fabales; Fabaceae. The record is from RNAcentral.